GAUGAACGCUAGCUACAGGCUUAACACAUGCAAGUCGCGGGGCAGCAUGGGGGUUGCUUGCAACCCCUGAUGGCGACCGGCGCACGGGUGAGUAACGCGUAUCCAACCUGCCCUUCACCACGGGAUAACCCGGCGAAAGUCGGACUAAUACCGUAUGUUGUCCAUUGACGGCAUCCGAUUUGGACGAAAGGCUUAGCGGUGAGGGAUGGGGAUGCGUCCGAUUAGCUUGACGGCGGGGUAACGGCCCACCGUGGCAACGAUCGGUAGGGGUUCUGAGAGGAAGGUCCCCCACACUGGAACUGAGACACGGUCCAGACUCCUACGGGAGGCAGCAGUGAGGAAUAUUGGUCAAUGGGCGGAAGCCUGAACCAGCCAAGUAGCGUGCAGGAUGACGGCCCUAUGGGUUGUAAACUGCUUUUAUGCGGGGAUAAAGGGCCCACGUGUGGGUUUUUGCAGGUACCGC
RNAcentral lists this ribosomal RNA (463 nucleotides) under Prevotella sp. oral taxon 317. RNAcentral's name for it is "bacterial SSU rRNA". It matches the Rfam family "Bacterial small subunit ribosomal RNA", at positions 28 to 481 of the family's 1533-position model. The record is from RNAcentral. Lineage: Bacteria; Pseudomonadati; Bacteroidota; Bacteroidia; Bacteroidales; Prevotellaceae.